RNAcentral lists this ribosomal RNA (464 nucleotides) under Cercopithifilaria japonica. RNAcentral's name for it is "partial 12S ribosomal RNA". Lineage: Eukaryota; Metazoa; Nematoda; Chromadorea; Rhabditida; Onchocercidae. The record is from RNAcentral.
UGCAUUUUAUUUUUAACUCUAUUUGUUGUUGUUUCUCUUUUUUUUAUUCUUUUUUAUGUUAUUUUUGUAAAAUAUUUUGAUUUUUUGAAUUUUGAAGAGGAUUUUAAGAUUUGUUUUUUGAACUGGAUUAGUACCCAGGUAAUCAAAAUUUAUUAAUGCGGGAGUAAAGUUUUGUUUAAACCGAAAAAAUAUUGACUGACUUUAGAUUUUUCUUUGGAAUAUGUAUUUUGGAAGGCCCUCCUUUGUAGUAGAUUUUAUGGGCACAUGUAUGAUUGUUUAGUUUUUUAUUUUUUUUUGUAAUGCAUUUUUUAAACUUUUGUGUUGAAAAACAGAUAGAUAUUUGGCUUAUGAAUUUAUUUAUAUGUGUUACUAUUAUAAAUUUUUUUUGGAUAUUUUAUUUAAUUUUUUAUUGAAAUUGGAAAAGAAAGUAAUGUAAUUUUUGAUGUUUUUGUGAAUUUAAUAAG